RNAcentral lists this ribosomal RNA (561 nucleotides) under Gastrophryne olivacea (western narrow-mouthed toad). RNAcentral describes it as "16S ribosomal RNA". The record is from RNAcentral. Lineage: Eukaryota; Metazoa; Chordata; Amphibia; Anura; Microhylidae.
AAGGAUUUAAGUCCUACCUUAAGUUCCCCUCUUCGUAGCAAAACUUCCGCGAACUUAAGAGCUAUUCAAACAAGGUACAGCCUGUUUGAAACAGGAAACAACCUCAAAAACAGGGUAACCACAAAUGACAUGUGUAUAAGUGGGCCUAAAAGCAGCCAACUUUCAAAAAGCGUUACAGCUUCCUCACCCGUCACUCUAAUACCAAAAACACCCAAUAACCCUUACUUAGUACUAAGUAACUCUAUACUUUUAUAGAAAUUAUUAUGCUAAAACUAGUAACAUGAAGAAGCCCUUCUCCCAAAUGCACCUGUAAGCCAAAAAGAACAAUUCAUUGGCAUUUAACGCUAUUGACCCUAAAGCAAUAACUACACAAGAAAAUUUUGCUAACACCAACGUUAACCUAACACAAGAGCAUUCCGGGAAAGAUUAAAAGAAGUGGAAGGAACUCGGCAAAUUUUAACCCCGCCUGUUUACCAAAAACAUCGCCUCCUGCAGUAUAUAGGAGGUCCAGCCUGCCCAGUGACCAAGUUAAACGGCCGCGGUACCCUAACCGUGCAAAGG